CCCUACGGGGUGCACCAUGCCAGAGCCUCGACCUUCUACCCUGGCCGGUGGUCGAUUAUACCGAUCUCGGGGCCAGCUCCACUGAUAGGAACACAGCAGGAUGCCUCUUAGACCCCGGGAGAUACAUAAUCUGGAGCGGAAAGAGAGUCUCCGGAUACAUAGGGGUAUCCGACGAUUGGAAGGCCUAUGGACCGUUUACCCUGAAGGGAGGGACAAGCUACCUCUUCGACGUCAGCGCCGGAACGCUGAAGCCGGUGGCACCGGAGGAGCUGAACUCCAUGCUGAAGGAGGUGGGACUCAGUCAGGCGAGGCUCUGGUACAAGCGCUCUACGGCGGAUCCCUAUGUCCUCUGUGUCGAGAUGGGCGAUGCCCCUUGAGGAAUUGGCGGGGGGAGC
This 395-nucleotide ribosomal RNA is filed under the name uncultured prokaryote. Its description in RNAcentral is "partial 16S ribosomal RNA". The record is from RNAcentral.